GACGAACGCUGGCGGCGUGCUUAACACAUGCAAGUCGAACGGAAAGGCCCUGCUUUUGUGGGGUGCUCGAGUGGCGAACGGGUGAGUAACACGUGAGUAACCUGCCCUUGACUUUGGGAUAACUUCAGGAAACUGGGGCUAAUACCGGAUAGGAGCUCCUGCUGCAUGGUGGGGGUUGGAAAGUUUCGGCGGUUGGGGAUGGACUCGCGGCUUAUCAGCUUGUUGGUGGGGUAGUGGCUUACCAAGGCUUUGACGGGUAGCCGGCCCGAGAGGGUGACCGGCCACAUUGGGACUGAGAUACGGCCCAGACUCCUACGGGAGGCAGCAGUGGGGAAUAUUGCACAAUGGGCGGAAGCCUGAUGCAGGAACGCCGCGUGCGGGAUGACGGCCUUCGGGUUGUAAACCGCUUUCGCCUGUGACGAAGCGUGAGUGACGGUAAUGGGUAAAGAAGCACCGGCUAACUACGUG
Molecule: ribosomal RNA, 468 nt
Filed under: uncultured bacterium
Lineage: Bacteria
Description: partial 16S ribosomal RNA
Rfam family: Bacterial small subunit ribosomal RNA
Source: RNAcentral